This 638-nucleotide ribosomal RNA is filed under the name uncultured bacterium. Its description in RNAcentral is "bacterial SSU rRNA". It matches the Rfam family "Bacterial small subunit ribosomal RNA", at positions 202 to 842 of the family's 1533-position model. The record is from RNAcentral.
AAAACUGAGGUGGUAUACGAUGGUUCCGCGUCUGAUUAGCUAGUUGGUGGGGUAAUGGCCUACCAAGGCAACGAUCAGUAGCCGGCCUGAGAGGGUGAACGGCCACAUUGGGACUGAGACACGGCCCAAACUCCUACGGGAGGCGGCAGUGGGGAAUAUUGCACAAUGGGGGAAACCCUGAUGCAGCGACGCCGCGUGAGUGAAGAAGUAUUUCGGUAUGUAAAGCUCUAUCAGCAGGGAAGAAAAACCGACCAUAGGGUCGCUAGACGGUACCUGAUUAAGAAGCCCCGGCUAACUACGUGCCAGCAGCCGCGGUAAUACGUAGGGGGCAAGCGUUAUCCGGAUUUACUGGGUGUAAAGGGAGCGUAGACGGCAGCGCAAGUCUGAAGUGAAAUGCCGGGGCUUAACCCCGGAACUGCUUUGGAAACUGAGCAGCUAGAGUGCAGGAGAGGUAAGUGGAAUUCCUAGUGUAGCGGUGAAAUGCGUAGAUAUUAGGAGGAACACCAGUGGCGAAGGCGGCUUACUGGACUGUAACUGACGUUGAGGCUCGAAAGCGUGGGGAGCAAACAGGAUUAGAUACCCUGGUAGUCCACGCGGUAAACGAUGAUUACUAGGUGUUGGGGGACCAAGGUCCUUCG